UACGUAGGGUGCGAGCGUUAAUCGGAAUUACUGGGCGUAAAGCGUGCGCAGGCGGCGCGUUAAGACAGAUGUGAAAUCCCCGGGCCUAACCUGGGAAUUGCAUUUGUGACUGCACGGCUAGAGUGUGUCAGAGGGGGGUAGAAUUCCACGUGUAGCAGUGAAAUGCGUAGAUAUGUGGAGGAAUACCGAUGGCGAAGGCAGCCCCCUGGGAUAACACUGACGCUCAUGCACGAAAGCGUGGGGAGCAAACAGG
Molecule: ribosomal RNA, 253 nt
Filed under: uncultured bacterium
Lineage: Bacteria
Description: partial 16S ribosomal RNA
Rfam family: Bacterial small subunit ribosomal RNA
Source: RNAcentral